ACAGAGGAAGGAGAAACAGGGAAUUAAUGCAGGUCAGAGGAAGGAGAAACAGGGAAUUAAUGCAGGGCAGAGGAAGGAGAAACAGGGAAUUAAUGCAGGGCAGAGGAAGGAGAAACAGGGAAUUAAUGCAGGUCAGAGGAAGGAGAAACAGGGAAUUAAUGCAGGGCAGAGGAAGGAGAAACAGGGAAUUAAUGCAGGGCAGAGGAAGGAGAAACAGGGAAUUAAUGAAGGGCAGAGGAAGGAGAAACAGGGAAUUAAUGCAGGGCAGAGGAAGGAGAAACAGGGAAUUUAUGUAGGGGCAAAGGAGAAACAGGGAAUUAAUGCAGGGCAGAGGAAGAAGAAACAGGGAAUUAAUGCAGGGCAGAGGAAGGAGAAACAGGGAAUUAAUGAAGGUCAGAGGAAGGAGAAACGGAAUUAAUGCAGGGCAGAGGAAGGAGAAACAGGGAAUUAAUGCAGGGCAGAGGAAGGAGAAACAGGGAAUUAAUGCAGGGCAGAGGAAGGAGAAACAGGGAAUUAAUGAAGGUCAGAGGAAGGAGAAACAGGGAAUUAAUGAAGGUCAGAGGAAGGAGAAACAGGGAAUUAAUGCAGGGCAGAGGAAGGAGAAACAGGGAAUUAAUGCAGGGCAGAGGAAGAAGAAACAGGGAAUUAAUGCAGGGCAGAGGAAGGAGAAACAGGGAAUUAAUGCAGGGCAGAGGAAGGA
Molecule: long non-coding RNA, 700 nt
Organism: Oncorhynchus tshawytscha (Chinook salmon)
Lineage: Eukaryota; Metazoa; Chordata; Actinopteri; Salmoniformes; Salmonidae
Source: Ensembl